RNAcentral lists this ribosomal RNA (253 nucleotides) under uncultured bacterium. RNAcentral's name for it is "partial 16S ribosomal RNA". It matches the Rfam family "Bacterial small subunit ribosomal RNA", at positions 524 to 776 of the family's 1533-position model. The record is from RNAcentral.
UACGUAUGGUGCAAGCGUUAUCCGGAUUUACUGGGUGUAAAGGGAGCGUAGGCGGCGCGUUAAGUCUGAUGUGAAAACCCGAGGCUCAACCACGGGAGUGCAUUGGAAACUGGCGGGCUGGAGUGCCGGAGAGGUAAGCGGAAUUCCUAGUGUAGCGGUGAAAUGCGUAGAUAUUAGGAGGAACACCAGUGGCGAAGGCGGCUUGCUGGGCUCUAACUGACGCUGAGGCUCGAAAGUGUGGGGAGCAAACAGG